RNAcentral lists this transfer RNA (104 nucleotides) under Candidatus Woesearchaeota archaeon. Its description in RNAcentral is "tRNA-Lys". It matches the Rfam family "tRNA". From Rfam's summary of the family: Transfer RNA (tRNA) molecules are approximately 80 nucleotides in length. Their secondary structure includes four short double-helical elements and three loops (D, anti-codon, and T loops). The record is from RNAcentral. Lineage: Archaea; Nanobdellati; Candidatus Woesearchaeota.
GGGCCGGUGGCGCAGCCUGGAACGACCAGUGGGCAAUUAGCGCACCAGACUUUUAAUCUGGCUGUCGCGGGUUCGAAUUGAACACGAAAGUCCCGUCCGGCCCA